This 444-nucleotide ribosomal RNA is filed under the name Triticum aestivum (bread wheat). RNAcentral describes it as "partial small subunit ribosomal RNA". The record is from RNAcentral. Lineage: Eukaryota; Viridiplantae; Streptophyta; Magnoliopsida; Poales; Poaceae.
AUGGCGGCCACGGCCAAGGCCGUCGCCGUGGCGCCCAUCCACGACCCCCCGGCCUAUAAAUCCCGCCGGCGAGCUCCCCUCGUCGAAAACCCUAGACCUAUCCCCUCCCCUCGCGCCCCCAACUCCUCCUCUCGCUCUCCCCGCGGCGGGUCGAGACGCGCCCGUCGCCUCUGCCUCGACCUCGUCACCGGUCGCCACUGCCCGACGCCGUUCGUCGCUUCCCCGACGCGUCCUCGACGGCGCCACCGAGCCUCCCCCGAGCCUCCCCCGAGCCCACUAACCUACUGGUCGACCACGCUACCCCGAGACUGCUGCCGAUACCUCUGUGAUCGACUACAUCGACGACGACCCCUCCUUCUUGCCAGAGCAGCCAGGAGCCAGAGGAUCCCGAUGAUGAUUCUACGUGGAGUUCGACUUCGAGGAAUAGUUAGGAGGCCCAGGUAG